Molecule: ribosomal RNA, 390 nt
Filed under: uncultured bacterium
Lineage: Bacteria
Description: bacterial SSU rRNA
Rfam family: Bacterial small subunit ribosomal RNA
Source: RNAcentral
GAUGAACGCUGGCGGCGUGCUUAACACAUGCAAGUCGAACGGUGAAAGAGGAGCUUGCUCCUCUGGAUCAGUGGCGAACGGGUGAGUAACACGUGAGUAACCUGCCCUUGACUCUGGGAUAAGCACUGGAAACGGUGUCUAAUACCGGAUACGAGCUUCAGCCGCAUGGCUAGGAGCUGGAAAGAAUUUCGGUCAAGGAUGGACUCGCGGCCUAUCAGCUAGUUGGUGAGGUAAUGGCCCACCAAGGCGACGACGGUAGCCGGCCUGAGAGGGUGACCGGCCACACUGGGACUGAGACACGGCCCAGACUCCUACGGGAGGCAGCAGUGGGGAAUAUUGCACAAUGGGCGCAAGCCUGAUGCAGCAACGCCGCGUGAGGGACGACGGCCU